GGCAACGGGUAACGGGGAAUUAGGGUUCGAUUCCGGAGAGGGAGCCUGAGAAACGGCUACCACAUCCAAGGAAGGCAGCAGGCGCGCAAAUUACCCAAUCCCGACACGGGGAGGUAGUGACAAUAAAUACUGAUACGGGGCUCUUUUGGGUCUCGUAAUUGGAAUGAGUACAAUCUAAAUCCCUUAACGAGGAACAAUUGGAGGGCAAGUCUGGUGCCAGCAGCCGCGGUAAUUCCAGCUCCAAUAGCGUAUAUUAAAGUUGUUGCAGUUAAAAAGCUCGUAGUUGAACCUUGGGUCUGGCUGGCCGGUCCGCCUCACCGCGAGUACUGGUCCGGCUGGACCUUUCCUUCUGGGGAACCUCAUGGCCUUCACUGGCUGUGGGGGGAACCAGGACUUUUACUGUGAAAAAAUUAGAGUGUUCAAAGCAGGCCUUUGCUCGAAUACAUUAGCAUGGAAUAAUAGAAUAGGACGUGCGGUUCUAUUUUGUUGGUUUCUAGGACCGCCGUAAUGAUUAAUAGGGAUAGUCGGGGGCGUCAGUAUUCAGCUGUCAGAGGUGAAAUUCUUGGAUUUACU
RNAcentral lists this ribosomal RNA (573 nucleotides) under Aspergillus fumigatus. Its description in RNAcentral is "SSU rRNA". It matches the Rfam family "Eukaryotic small subunit ribosomal RNA", at positions 351 to 930 of the family's 1831-position model. The record is from RNAcentral. Lineage: Eukaryota; Fungi; Ascomycota; Eurotiomycetes; Eurotiales; Aspergillaceae.